GCCCCACUGGUCUAGAGAUGGAGACUCGGAGGGCUUUCGGUUCACGAAAGCCAUUUCAGUGUCAGCCGGGGCAAGCAAAGGAACCCAGAGUCAGCCCUGCAGCAGCCAGAAAAGGAAACUGCAGCCAGGAACGCCCCACCCUGCAGGGCCCCUGUGGCCACCACACCUGCCCUCAGACCCACACGGACACCACAGAAGAGGGAGCCCUGCCGCCCUCAAGUUUCCUGGACUCAUUCUCGACACCCACUCUCACUCCGCCUGACCUGGCACUUGCUGUCCCAGCUCCGGUUGCCCUGCUUUUCUGGGUUUGACCCCUGCCAGUUCCCUGCUCUCGUCUUGAACCCACUCAAAAGUAACUCCGAUCAAACACCCAUGGCACGACUUUUACGGCCCCUGGUGCACCCGCUGCCCCUGUCAGUGGGGCCGGCAGCUGGGUGCCACUGAAGAAGCCUCCUCCCUCUUCUGGGUGCUGUGUUGGCUUCCGGGGUGGCAUUUCCUCCUUCCCUCUCUAUUUCUUUUAUUUUUUAUUUUGUUAUAGCUGGGGAGGAGCAGUCUUUGAGGAGUUUUUGAGUGAACACGCCAUAUGCCUGUUUCAUCACGAGCGCAAAUCAGCAGGAGGAAAAAGGAUGUCCUUAAAGUGACGUGAAGCCAUCAAAGGAGCUCUCAGGCCCCCCUUCAGAAGGCAAAGGGGAAAAAAAAAAAAAAAAAACACCUGAGCAAGUUCCUGACAUCAACAUCUGAAUCUUCCUCCUCUGAAUGCUGUAGAGAUGAAACGUUUCUCUGUCUGCUCUGAGCCUCAGUUUCUUUUUUUGUAAAACGAGGACGAUAACGAUUCCAGCGUAGGCAACUUCAUCGUGUUGCUAUCUGGACCACAGCAGGUACUGGAUGUGAAAGUACUUGGUAAGCGACGCAGCCCCAUGCACCUGAGAAGGGCGGCCCACGUCAGGUCUCAGCCCCAUUCUGGGUUGAGGUCUGUGUAUCCUCAACUAGGUCAUUCCUGGCUGUGCUAAGCAGCCCCCUGCAACGGCCCCUGAGUUUCCAGGACUGGAAAACAGAUGAAUUCCACGUGCUCCCUUUCCUCAGGCUUUUCUCCCAGAUGGGGUGUGCCUUGCGGGUGGUGAGGAAGCUUGAGGAAUGCUCAAGGGUCCCUUUACGGGAAGUCUCCAGAUGCGAUCUCCUGUGGCAAACACCUGACCUGAGGACCCCAACUCCCAUCAUCGCCCUGUUAGAGGAGGCAGACUGUGGGAGGUCAUGUGGUGCUGAUACGUGACAUUGCCUCCCCACGCAGGCAGGAAAAAGAAAGUCCUAAAGGGCACAUAGUUAUUAUUCUGAUUUUGUAGACGAAGAAACCGAGGAUAAGAAGGGUUAAGCUCCUCCUUCACAUUUGCACGGCUAGUAAGAGGGAGAGGUGGCAUUUGAACUUGGGGCAGCCUGACUGCAAAGCCUUGACUGGUUCCUUUAUAUCACCACGUGUGAUACAAUGGUUGUCACGUGUGUAAUAAUGCUUGUCUCACAAGAUGGAAAACUGCAGAGGGUCCGUGAAAGAAGGAUGGGUAAUGUGCCGUGCAGUUUUAGAGGAGGGAGGGAUCACUUCCGGUUGGAGAAAUCCAGGAAACCUUCAUUGAGGAGGUGGCUUUUGCCUCCAGGUCUUGAGGAAUAGCCCAGAUUUGGACAUUCAGAGAUGUCUAUUCUUCCCGUCCGUUGUCCCUUCUGCGGGCUGUGUGGCUGGCUUCCCAUAUCUGGUGAAUCUUCGCAAAAUCCAUUUAGUCCCCAGCCUCAUCCUCGUUCUCACUGUCCCCACACAAGAGAAGUCCCGGAAUACUGGGAACGGGAGAGGAAGUCACUCCGAACUGGGUUCGACUAAAGAACCUUCCUGGAACAGGCCCUGGGGAGAGGUCUGAUGCGACUGGACUUAAGUGCCAGUUCUCGAGUGAGCCUUCCCUGCCCUCCCAGACUAGACCGUGAACCCCGGUUUCAUGUACUUAUCACAAGAGUUACGAUAGUCUGCGGGGUCGGUGUCCUGGGGACACGGUGCUCCAGACUUCCCCUGUCAUGCCGUGUGCAUGAAUUGCACACUUUUCUUCCUGGAUUGUACUGAGUAUUGAGGACUGAUGGAAAGUUACAGCGUUUUCUCUCUGGCUGUCUACGAAAGACAGCCCAAAGUCUGCGUGAUUACGUCGAGUCAUGCAAGGAUUCUGGUGGGGUGUCUGGCCUAUCAGUGUUUGGUGCGUAUUUGAUGAAUUAAUGAACGAGCGAGCACAUUCACGCAAGAUGGGAGGACUCUAGAAAGCUCCUUCCUCGCACAGACAUACCCAGGUGGUAGGAGCGGUGAGCCCGGCCCGUGCCUGGGGAAGGAGUCUGCGGUGGUGACGAAGGAGGGGGAAAUACAGUAGGUGGGGGCGGGCGGGGCGAAGCCGUGAAAAUUAGGAGUGGGUGUAAGCGCCAGGGCGCAGCGUGCAGCCAGCCACAGAAAUCGGGCCUCUGCUGGCCCCUGUGCAUAAUUAGUAGCCAGAAAUAGCACCUGAUCGGUGGCCCUGAACAAGCAAGUGUGUUUCCGUGCAGGUCCUCAUGUCUCCACAGCACUGCCCUGUUUUCUUCUUCCUUUCAGACAACAACUAUUUGCAUCCCAAGUGAUGGGUGUCCCACUCUUUCCAAGCACCAUUCUCCACAGGGAUAGAUGGAAACAGCUGGAACGGAGGGGGGAGACUUUGGCUGUAAACCUAGACAGAGGUUCUCUUCUCUCUGAGCCUCAGUUUCCCCAUCCACAAGACGGGAACCAUGUUUGGGCUUCCCCGAGGCUCGACUGAUGGUGUGGAUGGCAGCUCCUUGGCAGGUGGGAAGAGGAUACCAGAGGCGCCUGGAGCCCCUUUUCCAGUCUUCAGGGCUGGGAAGACCAAGAUCAAGGUGCCAGCAAAUCCAGAUCGCUGUCCGUCGGGAACCCUCCUCUUGAUUUGAAGGCUGUGUCCUCACAUGGCAGAGAGAGAUGUCCUCCUUAUAAGGUACGAAUCCUAUCAUGGGGGCUCUACCCACAUGACUUCAUUUAAACCUACUUAACCUCUCAAAAGCCCCACCUUCGAGUACCAUCACAGUGGGGAUUAGAGUUUCGACGUAUGAUUUAUGCUGGGACACAAACAUUCAGUCCACAGCCCAUCCUGUAAUCGUGACAACCUCUGUAACAAAUAUUGAGAAUUCUGUUCAAAACAACUCUCUUCUGAGUGCCAGCCGUGUUACGGACCUGGGAAGCUGGAGAGAGGUAUUCAGUGGUGGCUGAGACCCAGUCCCUGCCCUCCGGGAGCUUCCGGACUGAUGGACUUGCUGCUGCCCCCAGACGACCUUUGUCUUGUCAUCAUCACCAGCAUGGCUGGGGGCUGCGGGAAGGGGGCAGAGGUGUCCGGGGGCGGGCGUGCCACCGCCUACGGGCUCAGGGCAGCUCCGUCCCUGUCACCAACUCUGGCCCACCCGCCUCGGCUUAGAAGAUACAGUCCCAUGUGGACACCAAGUGAGAGCUGAGAAGCCUCUUCCUCCUGUUGGUUGGUUUGUUUAUUGUUUUAUUCAGGACUUUCGAGGCUUUACAAGUCCCCAAGAACUUGAAGUUUUGUCAUGUUUUCAGAUGAUGCAUGUGAGUGUAGAGUUGUGCUGUCCAAAUGCCCAAAUGGUAACUGCCAGACACAUACGCAUUUACAUUUGUUUCAGUUAAUUAAAUGCAGUACAAUUUAUUUUCACUAUUUUAAUUUUUUUCAUGUGUAUUUAUUUUUGAGAGAGAAAGAGACAGAGCGUGAGCAGGGGAGGGGCAGAGAGAGAGGGAGACACAGAAUCCGAAGCGGGCUAUAGGCUUUCAGCUGUCAGCACAGAACCUGACGCGGGGCUCGAGCCCACGGACCGUGAGAUCAUGAUCUGACCCGAAGUCAGAUGCUUAACCCACUGAGCCACCCGGGCGCCCCAGAGGCAAUACAAUUUUAAUUUCAGUUUUUCAGUCACAUCAUCCGCAUUUCACGUGGGUGCUAACCUCAUGUGGCGAGCUGCUACCACAUUGGGCAGCGCAGAAUAGAACGGUCCCAUCAGCCCCGAAUGUUCUGUUGGAUAGCUUUGGUACAGAAAUUUGCUUUCUUGCCAUUUGUUCUUAGCGUUUUAUUUUUUAGAGUUAGCUACGUCUGGUCUUCUUAAAUGACCCCCCCCCCCCGCCUUUGGUGUCUCCUCACAUAAUUUUUUGAGGACUCGAGCUGUUAGUGUUGACCGUAAUACCCUGCAGGCCCAGCCCCACCUUCACUGUUACGUGUUUCAUCAGCUUGGCCUUUCUGUGCCCCGCUCUCCCUGGGCUGGUGAUAUUGUCCAUCUUGCCUCUCAAACCUCUGUCAGAACAAAUGCAAAGGGCUUUAGGCUGGCCAGAAGAAAACAUAGCCGAGAUCCCACGUAGCGAAAGUGAUAAUGAUCUUUUGGUACCUGGGGAGAGGCUGCCCUUGCUUGGGACAGAUCACACUUGACCCGGUGCCCUCCCCUCGGGUGGGGUUGCGAAGGCAACCAGUUGUCUGGGGGCCCGCUUUUCUCCAUUUCAGCCAGAACGCUUUA
Long non-coding RNA from Neofelis nebulosa (Clouded leopard), 4566 nucleotides. RefSeq lists it as uncharacterized. Lineage: Eukaryota; Metazoa; Chordata; Mammalia; Carnivora; Felidae. The record is from RefSeq and is a predicted model, not a curated record. The transcript has 5 exons.